CUCGUAGGUGGUUUGUCGCGUUGUUCGUGAAAACUCACAGCUUAACUGUGGGCGUGCGGGCGAUACGGGCAGACUAGAGUACUGCAGGGGAGACUGGAAUUCCUGGUGUAGCGGUGAAAUGCGCAGAUAUCAGGAGGAACACCGAUGGCGAAGGCAGGUCUCUGGGCAGUUACUGACGCUGAGGAGCGAAAGCAUGGGUAGCGAACA
This 207-nucleotide ribosomal RNA is filed under the name uncultured bacterium. RNAcentral describes it as "partial 16S ribosomal RNA". It matches the Rfam family "Bacterial small subunit ribosomal RNA", at positions 568 to 774 of the family's 1533-position model. The record is from RNAcentral.